This 232-nucleotide ribosomal RNA is filed under the name uncultured bacterium. RNAcentral's name for it is "partial 16S ribosomal RNA". It matches the Rfam family "Bacterial small subunit ribosomal RNA", at positions 524 to 755 of the family's 1533-position model. The record is from RNAcentral.
UACAGAGGGUGCAAGCGUUGCUCGGAAUCAUUGGGCGUAAAGGGCAAGUAGGUGGUCUUAUUUGUCUAGGGUGAAAUCCUUGAGCUUAACUCAAGAAGUGCCCUAGAAACGGUGAGACUAGAGUUCUGGAGAGGGUCGUGGAAUUCCCGGUGUAGCGGUGAAAUGCGUAGAGAUCGGGAGGAACACCAGAGGCGAAGGCGGCGACCUGGACAGAUACUGACACUCAAAUGCG